This 669-nucleotide long non-coding RNA is filed under the name Populus trichocarpa (black cottonwood). RNAcentral's name for it is "long non-coding RNA (PTRI_LNC001958)". Lineage: Eukaryota; Viridiplantae; Streptophyta; Magnoliopsida; Malpighiales; Salicaceae. The record is from RNAcentral.
AACAAACAAAUAAGUGUAAUAGAGUUUGAAAAUCGACUUCCAAAGGGUGGCAUAUGGCUGCAAGAGUGAGUUGUGGAGCGAAAGUAUAUGCGCGCCGAAACUGAACGUACAAAAUAAGUAGAAAAGAUCAGGAUUUUAGGAUGUGAUGGUGACUAUUAUUUAUGAGUUGUUGGGCUGUGAUUGAGGUUGAUUUUUGGGAUUGUUUUUCUUGUUUUUGGAUGUGAUUUUGGAAGAAUUAGAGUGAAGAAACCACUGGGUUUAUCGAGGCUGCUGUGGUAAUUAGGGUUAUGCUUGGCCAAAGAGGUGGUUGGUUUGUGACUACGAGGCUGAAGGGUUGUUGGGAAUGGAUGGUAUAGUGGAGAUGUGCUUUUUCGGGCUAAACAAUGGUGGUUAAUUUGAUUAAAAAAGAAAAAGAAGAAGAAGAAGAAGAAGAGACUGCAACAAUGGGUUGUUUGGUUAUGACUUUCAUCGUUGUCGUUGUGGAAUUGUUUGGGAUGAGGGAGAGACGACAUUGUGGUUUAGCAAUGAAGGUAGUUGUCUGGUGGCUGGUCUUGUGGAGAAGAUGGUAGAAUCCGGCAAAGGCAAAGAAGAGCAGCGACUAAAGUUAGGGUUUUUUUUUUUUUUUUUUUGUAUUCUCUUCUCUCUCUCUCUCUCUCUCUCUCUCGGGGU